AUUUGCCGUUAGAUUAACAAAAAUUUUAUCCGUUAGUGCGUUUGAACAACAAAUAAAAAAUUUCGAAACCGAUAGCUGCACAGAUCGUCGAUGAAAUUGCCCGAUCAAUUCGAUUGUGAUUUUCCACCCCGUAGCGGCAGACCAGAUGGCGACAGGAAGGGUUUUCGAAGAAUUGACGCUGCAGCAAUAUCUUAUUCUAAUCGCAAUCCGAACUCGAACUAGAAAUUUCCGCAGUAUUUUUUAAGAAGAUUUUCAUCAACCAAAAUAGAAUUUUCCUAGACCUUGUGAAAACAAAUUUACCGAAAGGCCGAUGCCAGAAGGAUGCGAAGAUAUUCGUAGAAAUGUUUUCAUUGGGUCUCGUGUAUUUCGCGACUAUUAUUAGCUGGAAAACAUUUCUCUAAGCGUAUCGAGACUCGAACAAGAUUACGGAUGUAUUUUCUCUUUUGGUCGUACGUUUUCGGGAAUACGUCAGAAAUCGCUUUACGCGACUUGUAACGUUUGCAACAAUUUAAUACCUACCUCUCGCUGGACAGGACGAAGGAUGCCUAAAAGAUGCGAACUCUUCGCUCUUUGAAACUAAUUAAAAGAAGACUCCUCGGAGUGAUGCAACGUAACGUUAAAGUUACAUUAUUUUGCUGCGGUGUGGGGCGGAAAAUAAUUUCCUCCUAAGCAUCCGACUAAAUUAUCGUGACUCAUUUCAAGAUGAUACGCCGAACGAGGCUCGUGAGUCAGCCGAUUGAUUAGAACAUGUCCAAAGUUCUCGCGAAAACAAAUUUUCAGAAAAAAAAAAACUGGGAUCGGCUAAUCUGCAAAGAGAGUUCAAAGCGUCAGAAGUAUUUUUGGACGAAAUAUAUUAGCGGUCCGUUAAUCGGAACGAGAGUAAAUAAAUAAACAACCGAUGAAUCGAACGAUAAGAGUCUCUUCGUAUAAUUAUUGUUAUUGAAUUGAUGUCAAGGCUAAUCAAUAAUUGGCAACACAAAGCAAAAUAUAUUUACAAACAGGUACCUGCGCACUGCUUGUCGUUCAGAUAUCUUAUCAGACGUUAUCUCAUUUUCCAAAUGAUAAAUUCACCCGGUGAAAAUCAUGAUCUGAUCAUAAUUUUUCCAUUUUGCGAAUUGAAACGGGGAAUAUCGAAUGCUGAGGAAUCGUUUAAAAUGGGCUCAGUUUUAUUGGAGUGCUUUUCAUCUUACAGCGAAGCAGGAUGAUGCACCGACAAUUCAGAGGGACAUGAGUAUUACAAUUUUUCAUCGACAAAUUGAUUCGAAGAAUUCCAGAUAGUAGAAUAGGAUGUUCGUUAUGGCGUAAAAAUACGUCACACGCAGACAAGGGGGUUACAAUAUGCACAUGAAUGAUU
Athalia rosae (coleseed sawfly) is the source of this 1354-nucleotide long non-coding RNA. RefSeq lists it as uncharacterized. The transcript has 2 exons. Lineage: Eukaryota; Metazoa; Arthropoda; Insecta; Hymenoptera; Athaliidae. The record is from RefSeq and is a predicted model, not a curated record.